Molecule: ribosomal RNA, 361 nt
Filed under: uncultured bacterium
Lineage: Bacteria
Description: bacterial SSU rRNA
Rfam family: Bacterial small subunit ribosomal RNA
Source: RNAcentral
AACGAACGCUGGCGGCGCGCCUAACACAUGCAAGUCGAACGAGAAUCCGGGGCAACCCGGUAGUAAAGUGGCAAACGGGUGAGGAAUACAUGGGUAACCUACCCUUGAGAAGGGAAUAACCCGCCGAAAAGGUGAGCUAAAUACCCUAUACGCUAUCUUUUUUUCGAAAAGGAUAGGAAAGCCGGGUCGAAGGACCUGGUACUCAAGGAGGGGCUCAUGUCCUAUCAGCUUGUUGGUGGGGUAACGGCCUACCAAGGCUACGACGGGUAGCUGGUCUGAGAGGAUGAUCAGCCACACUGGCACUGAGAUACGGGCCAGACUCCUACGGGAGGCAGCAGGGAGGAAUAUUGCGCAAUGGGGC